This 84-nucleotide transfer RNA is filed under the name bacterium M21. It matches the Rfam family "tRNA". Rfam says of the family: Transfer RNA (tRNA) molecules are approximately 80 nucleotides in length. Their secondary structure includes four short double-helical elements and three loops (D, anti-codon, and T loops). The record is from Rfam by way of RNAcentral.
ACCAAAGUGGCGGAAUUGGCAGACGCGCUGCGUUCAGGUCGCAGUGUUCGCAAGGACGUGAGGGUUCGAAUCCCUCCUUUGGUA